This 71-nucleotide transfer RNA is filed under the name Nanobdellota archaeon. Its description in RNAcentral is "tRNA-Gly". It matches the Rfam family "tRNA". From Rfam's summary of the family: Transfer RNA (tRNA) molecules are approximately 80 nucleotides in length. Their secondary structure includes four short double-helical elements and three loops (D, anti-codon, and T loops). Lineage: Archaea; Nanobdellati; Nanobdellota. The record is from RNAcentral.
GCGUGGGUAGUAUAGCGGCAGUAUCUUUGGCUUCCAACCAAAUGACCCGGGUUCAAAUCCCGGCCCGCGCA